AUGGCCAGCCGCAACUGCAACAGAGAGCUGGUUUUCUCUAUUAGCUGCAACCUCUGCAAACCUGAGGAUGGCGAGUUAGCCGGGUGUAUGCAAAAUGUACUUGCAGAGCGAGGUUCAAGUUGUCUUUCUCAUUAUUUGGCCUUUGAAACUGCUCGAUGUGGUGUUGGAGCAACCCGCGGCCAUUCAGAUCGCAGCGGGAUUUUAACGCUGCGUGAUUCUGGUGGGUGCUUAAAGGAUCUGGGAGCAGCCCCUGACACCGGCCGCCUCCAUCAGGUUUCAAGCCUCUGCAAGAUCCUGACUGCUAGGGAACAAAGGCUGGUAUGCGGUUCCCUCAAAGGUCAGUCAUUAACCUACCCCAACAACAGUUUUAGGAAGAUCAAGGCAGUGGAGGGGAAAAAAAAAUACACAAGAAAAAGCACUUUCACUUUGGAAUGAAUUGUUGAAAGUGCCCUUAUACAUUCGGUUUUAUUCCCUUUCAGCUCUGCACUUUUUAGUUCCUGCACGUAUUUAUUUCUCAUCAGGAAUAAUGGCAAGAUUUGCUCUCCCAGAGGUUUGACCUUAAGUUUAUUCUACCCACAACACUAUAGACCAUUUCAUCAAUUAUGAAUGUACCCAUGUGUAUAGAGGAACUGGUAAGCCAGCUCGGUAAUACUACCUUGUUCUGGAGACUCACCCUUAUAAAUAAAUUAGGGGCAUAUCUUUAUGAAAUACCA
RNAcentral lists this long non-coding RNA (713 nucleotides) under Coturnix japonica (Japanese quail). Its description in RNAcentral is "lncRNA (ENSCJPG00005017930.1)". Lineage: Eukaryota; Metazoa; Chordata; Aves; Galliformes; Phasianidae. The record is from RNAcentral.